This 104-nucleotide ribosomal RNA is filed under the name uncultured bacterium. RNAcentral's name for it is "partial 16S ribosomal RNA". The record is from RNAcentral.
CGCCAUGCCGCGUGAGUGAUGGAAAGGCCGUUCGGGUUAGUAAAACUCUUCGACGGGACGAUAAUGACGGUACCCGUAGAAGAAAGCUCCGGCUAACUUCGUGC